Molecule: small nucleolar RNA, 128 nt
Organism: Suncus etruscus (white-toothed pygmy shrew)
Lineage: Eukaryota; Metazoa; Chordata; Mammalia; Eulipotyphla; Soricidae
Source: RefSeq, a predicted model, not a curated record
UGAUAUUUACCAUUAGAUUUCUUCCUAUGCUCAUUUGAGCAGUGUUAUUUCUCAUGUGCUAUAUAAUAGUUGAAGGCUUACUGGCAGUAUGACUCCACAGUGAUACUGCCAGUCUCCUUCAGACAGUU